This 69-nucleotide transfer RNA is filed under the name Placosternum urus. RNAcentral's name for it is "tRNA-Gln". The record is from RNAcentral. Lineage: Eukaryota; Metazoa; Arthropoda; Insecta; Hemiptera; Pentatomidae.
UAUAUUUAAGUGUAAGAUGCACAAAGGUUUUUGAUACCUUAAGGUAUGGUUUAAUUCCAUAAAAUAUAA